UUUCCGUAGGUGAACCUGCGGAAGGAUCAUUACAGUAGUCACCCAGGUUGCCGCAAGGCCUCCUGGGUAACCUACCACCCUUUGUUUAUUACACUUUGUUGCUUUGGCAAGCCUGCCCUCGGGCUGCUGGCCCCGGCCGGCGAGCGCUUGCCAGAGGACCCAAACUCUGUUUGUCUAUACUGUCUGAGUACUAUAUAAUAGUUAAAACUUUCAACAACGGAUCUCUUGGUUCUG
Molecule: unclassified non-coding RNA, 234 nt
Filed under: plant metagenome
Description: partial contains small subunit ribosomal RNA, internal transcribed spacer 1, and 5.8S ribosomal RNA
Source: RNAcentral